RNAcentral lists this long non-coding RNA (5450 nucleotides) under Homo sapiens (human). Its description in RNAcentral is "HSALNT0149992". Lineage: Eukaryota; Metazoa; Chordata; Mammalia; Primates; Hominidae. The record is from RNAcentral.
GCUUUAAUAAUGCUGGGACAUUAAUAUCCUGAAGCAGUUCUCUUCCAGUGUUCCCAGACAUCAUGAAAUGUGAUAGGAAAUUCACCUCCUCUCAUGUGUCUUGUCUACACAUUGGUUUUCUGCUUCCUUAAUCUCUUUAUAGCAGGGUGUCUGGCUGUUAAAUAGCCAACUAUUUAUAAAUCUCUACAGAAACUUUCUAGACUUGCUCUUCUAUUCGAGUGAACUUCUAGAGCUGCCUUUAAAAUUUCAGAACCCUAGGUAUUUUACAUGUAAUCAUAUUGUCAUUCUGUAAGGGCAUAGUUAAAAAGAUUUUAAAAGUGGAAAUUUGAAUCAAAGACUUAAAUUUCAACUUUUUUUUUCCUAAAAGGGAAAGAUUUUUGUAAGAGAAAAUGAAGGAGUAGAGAAAAUUACCAACAAGAACCAUGUUGCACAAUGUUAAAACACAGUUUCUGCUAUUAAGAUGCCAAAAAUAUAACAGGAGGUAGAAGAGACCUAGAAGUCAUUUUAAAACAUGUCCUUGUUUCACAGAAAGGUGACAUGACAUUCUGAUUUACAUAGUAAAUGCUAGAGUCAGGGCAACUCUUUAUAUUCCUGAACUAGAGCUCCUUCAUUACACAAAUACCAUUCCAACAAGUAAAACCCAAGUCAAUGACUUAUAAAAGAUUCAAAGAGGAAGAGGCAUUUGAGGUAGACAUUGAGAGAAGCAUAGGACUUUCCUGGGUAUGUAUAAUGAUUUCUGCAACAAGAUCAAUGAGAUAUACUUUGCUGUUGAUAAACGCUGAGGGAGCAUUGGAGGAGGAAGGCAGAGGGCAGAAGACAAGGAUUUGAGGAAUGAGAAGCCACACUGGAGUGAAGACAAUAAUUGAAGAUACAUCUUUCCAGAAGUUUGGAGGCUGAAGGAAUGGGAGGGAUUGGCAACUUAAAUGGGUACUGAGAUGAAAGGAAGGUUUAUUGUUCAUCGGUGUCGAAUGCAGGAGACUAACAUAUAUUGGCAGUAUGCAAAGGACUAAUGGAGAUUGAAGAUUUACGAGAGAGGGAAUAAUUUAUGAAAUAAGUUCCCAGAGGAGGCAAGAAGGUGAGAUCAAAUGCCUAGAUGGGCAGGUUGGUUUUGACGAAGAGCAAGGAUAAUACUUUCUUUGUCAGAUUGAUCAGGAGAUGAAGAGAGGCAGGUGAAGAUUCAGAGAGGAACAGAACUGAAGGAGCUUGUGUUGGAUGCCUUUAUCCUUUGGGAGAUGAACCCAUGAGAUCACAUCCUAAGAAUGAGGCAGGGAGGGUCAAGUUGGAAAUUUGCGAGUGAAAAUAGACCUGAAUAUCUGGGAUGGGGGACGAGGAAAAGUCAACAAGAGAUGAGAUGCAUAAAAGGCUUUCCCAGCAGAAUGGAGGGGACAGUGGAGAUUAGUCUUAUUUUCUCCAGCUGUGCUGAGAAGACUGGGGUAAAGAUGAAAGCUACCCUGGGUUUCCAGGCAUUAGGAGGACCAAGGUGGAGAAGCCAGGAAGACCUGCAGGUGGGGAGGGUAUGACGUGGAAGCAACCACAUCACUGACCAUGAUCGCAGAAUGGAGGCUGGAUAAGCUGUGUUGUGGGGCAGGGAAAGGAUUGGGAUUUGCAUGGGGGCUGGUAAAACUUGAUUUAGGUUCUUGGGAAUAGGAAAAGGCACAGUUUAAGAAUGGGAAGCUGUUUCAAAGGGAAGAAUCACAGUUCUUGGUUUUAGUAAAUACCAUCAUAAAAAGUUCCAAAACAAGCCAAGCACGGUGGCUCACGCCUGUAAUCCCAGCACUUUGGGAGGCUGAGGUGGGAGGAGAGCUUGAGGCCAGGAGUUCAGACCAGCCCGAGCUACUUAGUGAGACCCUGUCUCUGCAAAAAAUGAAAAAUAAAUUAGCUGGCUCUGCACCCCAGCUACUUGGGAAGCUGAGGUGGGAGGACUGCUUGAGCCCAGGAGGUGGAGACUGCAGUGAACCAUGAUCGUGCCACUGCAUUCCAACCUGGGCAACAGAGACCCUGUCUCAAAAAAAAAAAAAAAAAAAUUGUUCCAAAUCGGACUCAGCAUACCAUAAAUGUCUUAAUAUUCACUCUAGCCAGGUAUUCCUGGUUUUAAGUAUUCACACUAAAAUUCCUUGUAGGACAAAUUGCUCAGGUGCUAUGCUAUAAGGGAUUAUAGUUUAUCUUAGCCAAAGGCAGAAACAUUUAAUCUUCCUUUUUCCUUUGAUGGAAUUAUGUUCUUCCUUACCAUCAACACCUAUUCAUUGAUAGUAUAGUUUUCUGUCUUAACUAUUUAGUGGGUUACUAACAGGAGAACCCACUCUGUUCCAGAAAUUGCCUUGAUGUUAGGAAUUAAAAAAACAAAACAAAACAAAAAACAUGGAGCCGUAUUCUCCAGAAGCUUACAUCUGAUUUAACGAGACAGGCCAGCUGCCAGAAGCUUCUCACUCCGUGGAGACCUUGGAGUCGAGGAUGAAAUGUCUUACAACUGUGGGGAGACCUUGGCUUUUCCAAAGCCUACCAGGGUCCAGGACUUGGAAGCUAAGGCCCAGAGAGGAGGAGAAACUUGAUCAAAGUCAAUCAGACAAUGCAGAAUCGAGAAAAGUACCUGGACCUCUAUGCCCAUGCUUCUAGCAGCCAGCCUCCUAAAAUACCUCUAGUUGAAGCCAAAGUUAGAAUCCUUCUACGAAACUACAGGAUUAAAAUGGUGAUUUUCUGAAGCAAUCUUGUUUUUCCCCCAUUGUUCUUACCUUUCUUCACCUAGGAGACCUAAAAGGCAGGGUUUUCUUCCCAGAACAUGUCUAAUAGUGCAUACCUGAGAUGACCCAGCUAUAAGCCUUUCUUGGUUUAACUGUAGGAGCCCAGGGGUAAAUGGAAUGGAACCAAGGAAGGCAGAGAGAUUGGGGUUGUCAACAUCAUAUCCUGCUUAGAGACUUCUGUAAAAGUUGUCUGAUCUUAUUUUACUUUCCCAACUGAACACUCUAAAGUGUGUCAAGACUUCUAGAUGUUUCUACCCAUUGCCUCCAAAAAUUUAGAUAUGUUUAAAUUCUAUGCCUUUUAAAAAAAUCAAGAAAUUCCUAAAUACUCCCUAAUUGAGAAAUAAUAAAAUUUAAAAGUUCGUAAUAGAGAGCAGUUUGGGGACCUACAGAAGUAGCAAGAGUGCAGGCAGCUCUGCAAUGGGUUCUCUUGCCUUUGUUUCUAAGUAUCAAACUCAGAAACCAACUAAGGGUUGAGGAUGUUGCAGUAGAUGCAUGUUGUCUGUGCCUUCUUAGUAUCCAUUCCCUGACAUUUCUGGUUAACAGUAUCCUGGUUUUUCUUUGGAAAAUCUGCCCUUCCUUAUUUUCAGUCCAAAUGAUUUGAAUGGGGCUGACUCUGACCCUUAACUCCCUUUCCAGGAAUGGUUACAUGACCCAGGCUUGACCAAUCAGAUCAUCCAAACCCUUUGCCACAGUGAUUGGUCCAGGGAUACAUGCAUGAGCCAGCUCAGGUAAAUGAGACUCAAUUAUAAGAAUUUUGUUAGCGCAAUUGGGAAAAAGAAGUUUUCUUUCCAUGAGAACUAUCAGCUAUAAGAAUGUUGGAUGCUUCCAUCUGCUGGAGUCCAUGAAGAAGGUCCAUGAAAAUGAAGCCAGCACAACAACACAGAGCUAAGACAUACAAAGAGAUGGAGAUUAAAUUGAAUGGAACUUUUAAGCCCCUACAUGCCCUUGAAGCCAGAUAUCCCUGAACUUUUAAUUUAUAUUAGUUGAUAAAGUCCUUCUUUAGCUUAAGCCAAUUUGAAUUAGAGUAUUUUUCACUUGGGGUCCAAAAGAGCUCUCAAUACAAAAGUCUGACUGAGUGCAUGAUGUGCUGGUUUCAACCUCAAGGGAACAGGGAAAGGGAAAGAAAGAGGCAGAGGUUGUGAACAGGACAGUAGAAGGUGGUCAGGAGACAAAUAUCUGGACUCAACUUUGUCCCUACUGUGUGGCCUUGAAUAGUGAGUUAACCACUCCGAGCCUCAGUUUCCCCAUCUGGAAAAAAAAGUUAGUGGACAGUCACUAGUUCUCAGACAGAACUCUGUAGCAGCGAGAGGGUAAUGGGGAUUGAGAGUCCCAGACUUGCAUUCUGAGGGACUAGCUCUCCUCUUAUCUAUAUCAUAUACCAGGUUUUCUUGUAAGGUUUUGUUAGAAUGGGUCUCACUGUUAAAAUGGAUUAGCUGAUCAUUUCAGUUCUAUUUAUAUUAAAGUCUAAAUUGAAUCAAGGCUCAGCUGGGGCCCAGUAAGAAUGUAGUGCCUGGUUAAUAAUAUUUUCUACUCUAUGAUAGGAGUUGGCCAGAAGCCAAGGUCAAAAACUCAAUCCCUGGAGGGUUUAUUUGCUUUCUGCAGACAUAAAAAAUUGUUAAUAACAAUGAUCUGCAUCCCCAAUCUUGAGAGCUGUCUUAGAGAUGUGGGUCAUUGAUCACAGAAGGGGCUGGGAAAAGGAAUGUGGAUGAUUCCAAAUAGUCAUUAGCUCUGCCUUAAAUGCCAAUACAAACACUACUGCCAAUGCUCAAGGCAAGCAACCUCUUCAUAGCUAGAACACAGAGGGUGGUGUGCUUGAAGGCUUUUGUUUCUCCUCAAGACAGUGUAGAAAAAGCUGAGAAAACAAAGAGCACUUGUUUCACAAUUAACUGCACAACACCUGAUGUAUAUCCACAGUCCUCUAAAUUAAUAUGGAUUCGCUUUUCUUUAUAAAGACAACAUACACAUUGUAGUGGAAAUCGGAUGGGAGGAUAAUUUUUAUGAAAGCAUAUAACAGUAUUUUUAUAAAAUAUAAAUUAUCAUUACAGUAAAAUAUAUUAACUUCAAGGCAAGUUUUGACACUGUAUGCAAGUUUAAAGUAUUUCAAAUUUUUAAAAAGUGUAUCUUAACAAAUAAAUUUUAGCACCAAUUGCCAGAAUUGUUGUCCACCACUAUAGUCAAAACAAUUUUCUUUUCUUUAUUUCAACUAAAAAUUGUGAAUGGGACUAAAGUCUUUAUGCAAAUAUAUACUCCAAUAAUAAUAUUAAUCUUGCCAACAGUAGCUGAAUAUUUAAUUAACUUUAACAAACAUGUUGAAAGAUAAUAAACUAAAAAAACUAUUUUUCCUUAUAGUCUCUGUAUAACUAGGUGCUUUCUCAUUAGAAAGCUUAUUUUUUCAAAAGUAUAUAUAACAUAGGUAAUUUAUAUUAAUAAAAAAUAAAAAGUUGCAAAUUUCUUGAGGUGUAAUUUCUCAUGUUGAUUAACUUCUGAUCUCUAUCAUUUUGCUUACAUGUACCAUAGAUACACAAAAACCAGAUGGGGGGCAGGGUAAUCAAUCUUAGGAGAGGGCAAUAGUUAAGUCAGACUAGGCAGAGUCAAGACAAGAGGCAGGCAGAGGGUUAGUUGAGGGCAAGUUAUGAAUGCCUCAGAACACAUCUCAGGAUUUGGAAACAAGCAGUAGUCUGGUCAAAUCCAAACUGGGAAACACAGAUGGCG